Molecule: ribosomal RNA, 391 nt
Filed under: uncultured bacterium
Lineage: Bacteria
Description: bacterial SSU rRNA
Rfam family: Bacterial small subunit ribosomal RNA
Source: RNAcentral
GACGAACGCUGGCGGCGUGCUUAACACAUGCAAGUCGAGCGGUAAGGCCCUUUCGGGGGUACACGAGCGGCGAACGGGUGAGUAACACGUGGGUGACCUGCCCUCAGCUCUGGGAUAAGCCUGGGAAACCGGGUCUAAUACUGGAUAUGACUCCAUGACGCAUGUUGUGGGGUGGAAAGCCUUGUGCGGCUGAGGAUGGGCCCGCGGCCUAUCAGCUUGUUGGUGGGGUGANGGCCUACCAAGGCGACGACGGGUAGCCGGCCUGAGAGGGCGACCGGCCACACUGGGACUGAGACACGGCCCCAGACUCCUACGGGAGGCAGCAGUGGGGAAUCUUGCGCAAUGGGCGAAAGCCUGACGCAGCGACGCCGCGUGAGGGAUGACGGCCUCG